GCUCGUGUCGUGAGAUGUUGGGUUAAGUCCGUAACGAGCGCAACCCUGUCCUUAGUUACCAGCACGUUAUGUGGGCACUCUAAGGAGACUGCCGGUGACAACCGGAGGAAGGUGGGGAUGACGUCAAGUCAUCAUGGCCCUUACGGCCUGGGCUACACACGUGCUACAAUGGUCGGUACAAAGGGUUGCCAAGCCGCGAGGUGGAGCUAAUCCCAUAAAACCGAUCGUAGUCCGGAUCGCAGUCUGCAACUCGACUGCGUGAAGUCGGAAUCGCUAGUAAUCGUGAAUCAGAAUGUCACGGUGAAUACGUUCCCGGGCCUU
RNAcentral lists this ribosomal RNA (321 nucleotides) under uncultured Pseudomonas sp. RNAcentral's name for it is "bacterial SSU rRNA". It matches the Rfam family "Bacterial small subunit ribosomal RNA", at positions 1058 to 1382 of the family's 1533-position model. The record is from RNAcentral. Lineage: Bacteria; Pseudomonadati; Pseudomonadota; Gammaproteobacteria; Pseudomonadales; Pseudomonadaceae.